GACGAACGUUGGCGGCGUGCCUUACACAUGCAAGUCGUACGCGAAAGGGGAAACCAGCUUGCUGGGGACCCCGAGUAGAGUGGCGAACGGGAGCGUAACACGUGAGGAACCUGCCUCGGAGUGGGGAAUAACCCAGAGAAAUCUGGGCUAAUUCCGCAUGAUGCAGCGGCCCCGCACGGGGACAGUUGUUAAAGACCGCCUCUGCUUGCAAGCGGUCGCUUCGAGAUGGUCUCGCGGCCUAUCAGCUAGUUGGCGGGGUAAUGGCCCACCAAGGCGACGACGGGUAGCCGGCCUGAGAGGGUGUCCGGCCUCAUUGGGGCUGAGACACGGCCCAGACUCCUACGGGAGGCAGCAGUGAGGAAUCUUGCGCAAUGGGCGAAAGCCUGACGCAGCGACGCCGCGUGAGGGAUGAAGGCCUCGG
This 421-nucleotide ribosomal RNA is filed under the name uncultured bacterium. RNAcentral's name for it is "bacterial SSU rRNA". It matches the Rfam family "Bacterial small subunit ribosomal RNA", at positions 28 to 420 of the family's 1533-position model. The record is from RNAcentral.